GAUGAACGCUGGCGGCGUGCCUAAUACAUGCAAGUCGAGCGAACAGACGAGGAGCUUGCUCCUCUGACGUUAGCGGCGGACGGGUGAGUAACACGUGGAUAACCUACCUAUAAGACUGGGAUAACUUCGGGAAACCGGAGCUAAUACCGGAUAAUAUAUUGAACCGCAUGGUUCAAUAGUGAAAGACGGUUUUGCUGUCACUUUUAGAUGGAUCCGCGCCGCAUUAGCUAGUUGGUAAGGUAACGGCUUACCAAGGCAACGAUGCGUAGCCGACCUGAGAGGGUGAUCGGCCACACUGGAACUGAGACACGGUCCAGACUCCUACGGGAGGCAGCAGUAGGGAAUCUUCCGCAAUGGGCGAAAGCCUGACGGAGCAACGCCGCGUGAGUGAUGAAGGUCUUCGGAUCGUAAAACUCUGUUAUUAGGGAAGAAAAAAUGUGUAAGUAACUAUGCACGUCUUGACGGUACCUAAUCAGAAAGCCACGGCUAACUACGUG
Molecule: ribosomal RNA, 497 nt
Filed under: uncultured bacterium
Lineage: Bacteria
Description: partial 16S ribosomal RNA
Rfam family: Bacterial small subunit ribosomal RNA
Source: RNAcentral